Long non-coding RNA from Manduca sexta (tobacco hornworm), 403 nucleotides. RefSeq lists it as uncharacterized. Lineage: Eukaryota; Metazoa; Arthropoda; Insecta; Lepidoptera; Sphingidae. The record is from RefSeq and is a predicted model, not a curated record. The transcript is spliced from 3 exons.
AAAAUGAAACUGUUCAAUAUUUUCAUCAGUCGCGUAUUUAUUUCUAUAAUAGAUAGGCAAGUCUCUAAAGGGUACUGCUUCGUGUCUUGUAAUAUUUUUUGCAAGUUAAAGAUUCACAAUGAAGGGGCUUCAUCUGACAUUUAUUUUACUUAUUUGUUACAUUUCGUUAUAUAAUGCAGUAUUGGCGUUCUACCCUGCGCCACAACCUUUUUUGGAUACUAUAAAGGAAUGUACGAAUGCGACGAAUUGUGUAAUAAAUGACUCCGGAAAAGUAAGCAGUAAUAACAACAAGCAAAGCUGAUAUAAAUCUUAGGAAGCGACCAUUCGCGCCCCGGGCGGAGGCACGACAAUGUAACAAACAAGCAAUAAGCUUUCUAAAAAUAAAUAAGUGUGAAAUGUAACA